RNAcentral lists this ribosomal RNA (473 nucleotides) under Alternaria brassicae. RNAcentral's name for it is "SSU rRNA". It matches the Rfam family "Bacterial small subunit ribosomal RNA", at positions 413 to 885 of the family's 1533-position model. Lineage: Eukaryota; Fungi; Ascomycota; Dothideomycetes; Pleosporales; Pleosporaceae. The record is from RNAcentral.
UGACUAGGUCUUAUAAAGUUCUGGAUAAAGCUUAUUAUGAAAACUUUAUAUCCAUAGGUCUCGACCAAAUCUUGUGCCAGCAGUCGCGGUAAGACAAGGGAGACGAGUGUUAUUCAUCUUUAACAGGUAUAUAGGGUACCUAGACGGUGUGCAAUGGCUUAAAUAAGUACCUGGUACACUUGAGUUUGAUAUGUGAGAGGAAUAUGUCGGAAUUGUUGGAGGAAAGAUGAAAUUUGUUAAUACCAAUAGGACUGAUAACGGCGAAGGCAAACCUCUAUGUACAUGUACUUGCUAUUUCUGUUUUUAUUAUAGCAAAAUAGCAAUGUACUAUAACUGACGUUGAGGGACGAAGGCUCAGAGAGUGAAGAGGAUUAGAUACCCCCGUAACCUGGGCAGACAAUGAUGAGUGCCAUAGGUUGGCUUUAAGGCGGAACUAUAAAUGAAAGUGGAAGCACUCCACCUCAAGAGUAAUG